GAUAAAACUUGGUUCUAAUUAGACUAUGAGAUGUUAAGUAUGUAUAUUACAAUAGAGUAACUUCUAAAAGCACAAAGGAAUAAAAUGAAAAACUCAAUAGUUAAAUUAAAAUGAAAUACUAAAAAUAUUUACUUAAUCAAAAACAAAACAGGAUAAGGAAAAUAAAGGAAUGAAGAACAGGAGGAAUAAACAGAAAAGAAAUUACAAAAUAAAUCCAAAAACUAAAUGUGAAUCAUGUAAACAGGGAGCAUAUUUUUUUUUCUGUGAAGGGCCAGAUAGUAAAUGUUUCGAAUUUGUCAGUCUCUAUUACAACUGUACUCAACUCUGCCUUCGUGGCAGAAAAGCAGCCAUAGAAAAUACAUACACAAAUGAGCAUGUGACUAUGUUUUUGUUGUUGUUCUAAUAUGGUACUGGGGAUUGAACUCAGGAACUAAUGCAUACUAGACUGUGCUUUACCACAGAACUAUAACCCCAGCCCAAUGACCAUGUUUUAAUAAAACUUUAUUUACAAAACAGGCAACUGGUUAGAUUUUGCCCAUAGGUAAUUUGAUGACCUUGAUCUAAACAUAUUAAUUAAAAGCUAGAGAUUUUUUUAUUUUUAAAACCAGGAAGAUCGGGAACCAAGAACCAGGAAGGCUUAUUACCUUUUAUAAAACAUUUAGGCUCCCUAAUCUCAGGGAUCCUCUCCCAUGAUGCAGUACUAUUUGGUCCCCUUCACAUCAUCUUUUUGUAACAAGGUCUCCUUUAAAAUUGAAAGAUUUAAAAGAACCCUUACUCUUAAGUUGCUUUUUUCCUUCCCAGCUUCCUACAGGUAACCAUCUCAUGCUGAGAAGAGAAGCUGAAUGGAAACUGCACCCCCAUCCCAGAAGUCCUGGGAUCAAUGGAGCCUGCAAAACCAAAAUAGCAACGUGCCUCUCAGCUGGAAGUUCCCACAGCUUGACACGAUAUACAUACAUGUAUUUCUUGGCUCCCUGCUUUUGUUCUCUUCCUAUAUAUUCCUAAAGCUGAUAUUGGUUCAGGGAAAACAGAUAUUAAGACUGGCUAUCUUCUGAUUUGAGCCAAACUGCAAAUAAAUUCAUUUCUUGAUUCACCAUCUUUUCUUUCUCUCUUCAUUAAUUCAAUUAUUGAUGCAGCAGGUGAUUGAACCUAAUUUGUUAGGACCCCUAGAGUCAAGCCUUUGACCAGGGUCCUGGUAACACUUUGGGAAAUGGAGCUCAAGACAUUGGUGCAAAUGAUAAUACUAUUGUUAAAUAAAGUUGUGACUUGUUGUCCAGGGCUCUUCUAUUUUUUUGAUAGCACCUAUGAAACUGUGGCAGACUAGCUGGAUAACUUACAGGAGGAUGAACUCUUACAUCCUUCACCUUCAUGCAAAUGAUAAAAGGGUCACCAAGACAAGAGCCAUCCUAAAUCAGUAUGCACGGAAAACAGCAGAGC
RNAcentral lists this long non-coding RNA (1434 nucleotides) under Marmota monax (woodchuck). The record is from RNAcentral. Lineage: Eukaryota; Metazoa; Chordata; Mammalia; Rodentia; Sciuridae.